GACGAACGCUGGCGGCGUGCUUAACACAUGCAAGUCGAACGGAAAGGCCCUGCUUUUGUGGGGUGCUCGAGUGGCGAACGGGUGAGUAACACGUGAGUAACCUGCCCUUGACUUUGGGAUAACUUCAGGAAACUGGGGCUAAUACCGGAUAGGAGCUCCUGCUGCAUGGUGGGGGUUGGAAAGUUUCGGCGGUUGGGGAUGGACUCGCGGCUUAUCAGCUUGUUGGUGGGGUAGUGGCUUACCAAGGCUUUGACGGGUAGCCGGCCUGAGAGGGUGACCGGCCACAUUGGGACUGAGAUACGGCCCAGACUCCUACGGGAGGCAGCAGUGGGGAAUAUUGCACAAUGGGCGGAAGCCUGAUGCAGCAACGCCGCGUGCGGGAUGACGGCCUUCGGGUUGUUAACCGCUUUCGCCUGUGACGAAGCGUGAGUGACGGUAAUAGGUAAAGAAGCACCGGCUAACUACGUG
Molecule: ribosomal RNA, 468 nt
Filed under: uncultured bacterium
Lineage: Bacteria
Description: partial 16S ribosomal RNA
Rfam family: Bacterial small subunit ribosomal RNA
Source: RNAcentral